Molecule: ribosomal RNA, 292 nt
Filed under: uncultured bacterium
Lineage: Bacteria
Description: partial 16S ribosomal RNA
Rfam family: Bacterial small subunit ribosomal RNA
Source: RNAcentral
GUGCCAGCAGCCGCGGUAAUACAGAGGUCCCAAGCGUUGUUCGGAUUUAUUGGGCGUAAAGGGCGCGUAGGCGGAGGUGCCAGUCAAUUGUGAAAUCCCGGAGCUCAACUCCGGAACUGCAGUUGAAACUACAUCUCUCGAGGGUAGGCGGAGAAAACGGAAUUCCACAAGUAGCGGUGAAAUGCGUAGAUAUGUGGAAGAACACCAGUGGCGAAGGCGGUUUUCUAGCUUAUACCUGACGCUGAGGCGCGAAAGCAAGGGGAGCAAACAGGAUUAGAUACCCUGGUAGUCC